RNAcentral lists this ribosomal RNA (274 nucleotides) under uncultured bacterium. Its description in RNAcentral is "partial 16S ribosomal RNA". It matches the Rfam family "Bacterial small subunit ribosomal RNA", at positions 523 to 796 of the family's 1533-position model. The record is from RNAcentral.
AUACGGAGGGGACAAGCGUUAUUCGGAAUCACUGGGCGUAAAGGACGCGUAGGCGGGUUAUUAAGUCGGGUGUGAAAUCCAAUGGCUCAACCAUUGAACUGCAUUCGAAACUGAUAACCUAGAGUAUGGAAGGGGCAGGUGGAAUUAGUGGUGUAGAGGUAAAAUCCGUAGAUAUCACUAGGAAUACCGAAAGCGAAGGCGACCUGCUGGGACAUUACUGACGCUGAGGCGUGAAAGCGUGGGGAGCAAACAGGAUUAGAAACCCGGGUAGUCC